RNAcentral lists this ribosomal RNA (253 nucleotides) under uncultured bacterium. Its description in RNAcentral is "partial 16S ribosomal RNA". It matches the Rfam family "Bacterial small subunit ribosomal RNA", at positions 524 to 776 of the family's 1533-position model. The record is from RNAcentral.
GACGUAGGGUGCAAGCGUUGUCCGGAAUUAUUGGGCGUAAAGAGCUCGUAGGCGGUUUGUUGCGUCGGCUGUGAAAUCCCGAGGCUCAACCUCGGGUCUGCAGUCGAUACGAGCAAACUAGAGUGUUGCAGGGGAGACUGGAAUUCCUGGUGUAGCGGUGAAAUGCGCAGAUAUCAGGAGGAACACCGGUGGCGAAGGCGGGUCUCUGGGCAACAACUGACGCUGAGGAGCGAAAGCGUGGGGAGCGAACAGG